Molecule: long non-coding RNA, 515 nt
Filed under: Homo sapiens (human)
Lineage: Eukaryota; Metazoa; Chordata; Mammalia; Primates; Hominidae
Description: HSALNT0376398
Source: RNAcentral
GCACUCUAUCUCUUAAGGAGCUGUGAUGAAGACCAAGACAAACAGUAGAUUAACAGUGCUACCUUUUAUAAGGCUGAUUAGUUCCUAAAAUAUGCUGAAAGGAAACAAAACCAAAAAGAAAAAAGAGUGGAAAGGGGGGUGAGACAGAAACCUUUGUCGGCAGAGUCUCAUUCCAUCACCCAGGCUGGAGUGCAGCGGCGUGAUCUUGGCAACCUCCACCUCCCAGGCUCAAGAAAUCCUCCCACCUCAGCCUCCCAAUAGCUGGAUCUACAGGCGUACACCACCACAAUCAGCUGUAUUUUUUGUAGAGACUGGGUUUCGCCAUGUUGCCCAGGGUGGUCAUGAACUUGUGAGCUCAAGUGAUCUGCCCGCCUCAGCCUCCCAAAGUGCUGGGAUUACAGGCAUGAGCCACCGCCCCUGGCCUAAUAAAAUUUAUUUUUAAAAAAGGACCUAUGGCGAAUCAUUUUUACAAAUAAAAUCUAUAGUCAAGGUGCAGUAUGGGAACAGCAUUUUAC